This is a long non-coding RNA of Daucus carota subsp. sativus, 1371 nucleotides long. RefSeq lists it as uncharacterized. Lineage: Eukaryota; Viridiplantae; Streptophyta; Magnoliopsida; Apiales; Apiaceae. The transcript has 5 exons. The record is from RefSeq and is a predicted model, not a curated record.
UUGGUGAGGACACGGAAGCAACAUCAUGGAGAUCUUCAGUGUUAGCCAUUCGGGUGUCAAUCCAUUGUUGUAACCAGUAUCUCCAUCUUCCAUCAACUUUGUUUAGCUCCAGUUCCGCUGACCUCUGCAAUUUUUAAGGUGGAGGAGUAUUGCAUUCAGCUUUGAUGGCAUCGAACUCUUGUAAUUCCUCUUUGCUCCGUUGAGGAGAUUGAACAAGAACAGAAAGCCGUGGAGCUGAAAUCACGACAUGAGGGUUGAUAAACAGUCUUCCAGAUAUCCAUUUCCUUCUCUUCUGCCCCUGACAUAAUUAUAACAAUGAUUAUAUGUACAAUCAAAAGGAUCAUAACUUUUCAUGAAGCUAACUAAACAUCAUGGUGGUAUGAAAGCUUUCUAUAGAAAAGAAAAUGCUUACUGGGAAUGGUCUCUUGAUAUUUGAAAAUAUCGCACAUUGACAUUGAAUAGCACUUAUUGUGAUGUAUAUGGGAAAAACUUGUCUUACUUGAGAAUCUUCAUUUCCAAUAUCCUGAAGAGAUUUUCUCCAGGUGAGAACGAUAGAUUGACAAUGCUUCUGAAGUGUUUCAGUGGUUAUAAAAAGUGGCUGGUAUGUAUUCCUUUUAUUCCAAAGAACCUAACUCCAGUUAGUAUAUAUAUAAUGUGAUGAAGCAUAAAUCAUAAAAUUGAAAUCUUAAGGCCAUCGUUUUCUUUUGCAAGACUAUUAUGAUUUCUCAUCUUUUACAUGAUGCAUAUAAAAAAUUGAGCAUGUGGGUCUGGAGACAAAUACUGGAUAUGAAAAGAAAUGGCUCAUCUUUGUGGAGGGAGUUCUCAGUUGUCAUGUAUGGGACCUGUUACAUGUUCAUAUGUCUGUGAUAACAUGAGGGGCAGUCCACUUAUAGAGUACAAUGGACAAUUCUACCCGGCACUACCAUUAUCAAUGCUCAUUGUUGGUGUGCUUGCGCGUCUCUGCGGCCUGGAUUAUGAACACUGGAACAGCACAGAUACCGAAUAUCGGAAUAUACAAACCUGAUGCAUAUACAUUGUAAGUAGUUUUUCUGACAGCUAAAGGUUUUUGGCACAUUGCACGUUUCGACAUUCUGGUAGAACUGUGAAAUAAAAGGGUGCAAUUUAUUAUUUGCUCGUGUUGCACAUGGAACCUUCAAGUUUGGCUUAUCAAUGUUCGCCACUUAGCCUUCGCCCUUCGGAACCACUAAAAGCAAGUCUAACAAUGUCAUGCUAAUUGCUUUUAUAACUUAUAAGUAUAAUAAACCAUAGUGUUGAGGUAGUGAUUUAAAACAUUAUUUUGAUGUAUGAACUCCAACAACAUGUCUUAUAAUUAUGUUUUAUUAUUAAAAUAAUAAUAUAUAUGACUUGGUA